CAAUAAAUACUGGUAAGGCACUUCAAAAAAUAGCCAAAUCACACAUUAUUAAGAAAACCACUACAAUCAAAAUCGGUAACUAUCAGCUUUCGAGGGGGGUCUCAGGUUAUCAUGACGAUCGGGGUAAAGGAUGAACUACUAUUGCGGUCUGAAUUGAGGGAGUUUUGAUAACCGUUCGAAUACUAAUAAUAAAUAUCCUCCGGCAUAGCCGGAGGUUUUUCAGAUG
This 226-nucleotide small RNA is filed under the name Salmonella enterica subsp. enterica serovar Heidelberg str. B182. Its description in RNAcentral is "STnc150". It matches the Rfam family "STnc150 Hfq binding RNA", at positions 31 to 267 of the family's 267-position model. Lineage: Bacteria; Pseudomonadati; Pseudomonadota; Gammaproteobacteria; Enterobacterales; Enterobacteriaceae. The record is from RNAcentral.